RNAcentral lists this ribosomal RNA (324 nucleotides) under Triticum aestivum (bread wheat). RNAcentral describes it as "partial small subunit ribosomal RNA". Lineage: Eukaryota; Viridiplantae; Streptophyta; Magnoliopsida; Poales; Poaceae. The record is from RNAcentral.
AUGCUCAAUUCUGUCAAUUGCUCAACAAUAAUUUGUUCACCCACCGUAGAAUACUUAUGCUCUCGAGAGAAGCCACUAGUGAAACCUAUGGCCCCCGGGUCUAUCUUUAUCAUAUUAAUCUCCUACUACUUAGUUAUUUACUUUGCUAUUUUACUUUGCCUUUAUUUUACUUUGCAUCUUUAUCAUAAAAAUACCAAAAAUAUUAUCUUAUCAUAUCUAUCAGAUCUCACUCUCAUAAGUGGCCCUAUAGGGAUUGACAACCCCUAUUUGCGUUGGUUGCGAGGAUUUAUUUGUUUUGUGCAGGUACGAGGGACUUGCGUGUAG